UAUAAUAUAUCCUCUGCAAUUCUACGGUCGUAAACGUAAUUGCCUGGGUCCAUUGGAGAAAGCAAGAAAAACAUAUGAGAGACUGAAGGAGAAAAGAUAACAUAGAGGAAAAAAAAGUAUUUCAAGAGUUCGAGAUUGAUUAAAAGGGCAUUCUAACUGUUGCUAACACGUUCUAUAAUCAAUCUUCAUGUUUGAGUUUGUUAUGUUUGUAAAAUGUGGUUUGGUCGUCAAUGCAGUUUAUGCGCCAUAUUGAGUUGCUUCAUAUAGUUUAUAUAUUAUCAUAUUAGUUGAAGCUCCAUAUUAGUUUUGCAAUUUGUUAUUUAAUAAAUUAGUUGAUGGUUUUACACCUAAAUAUCACUUAAAUUAUCAAACAUGAGACGGACAAAACCGCACUUCCGUACGCGCCCCCGCGCGUGCACGAACAGUAGUAUAUAUAUGAUAGAACAAAAAAGGAUUUAGUGAAGAUUUCAGAAUUUCCUGAUGCAAACUAUCAACUUUCAAAAAUCAUAACUAAAUAUAGGAAAAUCAUUUUCAAGAAAUUCCAAUUCUGAGAUGAUCUUUAACAUGUCUACUGUAACUUUCAUGAAAACACCAAGUUCAAACAAUCAACCAAAUUGCAUAGUUUUCAGAGAGAAGCUAACUGGUUCAAAAUCUCAGAAAACAGUGAUCUGCGAAAAAUCAUAAUUUAAUCUAAAACAAUCAUUUUCAAGUGAUUCAAACUCUCAAACGAACCUUAAGAUGUCUUGUCAAGACCCACCCCGAAUUUCACCCUGAAACCCGAAGUAAAUCCUGCGGGGACCACCUCCAAGGAAAGUUUACCGAAAAUUCGGCAUAACCUCCCUUGAAAAUGGGCAACCCUUCCUAAUAAUACCUGCAUACGCUUCUGAAAAUCCAAAUCCAAUCUUAAACUCCUGGAGCCUUUGUGCUCCCCCAAAUCACAACAUCUCUCAAUUGAUUUACUAACUUUAAAAAGAAAAUCUCACAACCAACAACCACAGUUCAGAGCAACUCUAUUUGAGAGGAAAAGAACUAGUAAUUUAAAAAUGAGUGGAAGCUAUAUAUUGACUGUCACAUCCCGACCCUUAUAUUUUUACCUUGUUUACUAGCCUGAUUAUAAUAAGAAUUUUACCGUUUCCGUCAUUGAGUUAAUAGUUAAUUGGUCCCUAAAGGGGUUUCGGAGACGAUUAUGUGCGGAGGAUUAUUCGUAUGAGGAAAAUACGACAACGGUAAAAAUAGUAAAUUUUAGCUAGUAAAAGGUAAUUUUUAUUCGGGUAUUAUUUUUUCGGGGUGUUUUAUUUUUGUGGGAGUUGGGUAUAAGGGGGAGUUGGACCGGUUGGAGAGGCCCAACCCUUUUCCCUCUCUUCUCUNNNNNNNNNNNNNNNNNNNNGAGAUAGUUCCAUUGAUCAAAGAUCAUAACAACGAAAAUGGUCAAGCAUGAAUAGUUCGAGGACCAUUCAAGCAACAUAGCUAAAAACUAAAUACAGACUACAUCUAAGAAUUGAAAGAACAACCUCAAAACUACAUCCAAAAAGGUGGAUAUGACAAACUAAAAAGCAUAAAACCUUCUAAACUCCAACAACGACUCAACUUUCAAUCGAAUCAGGCCUAAGACCUAAUAGUGUAUCUUUUAUCGAAUUGAAAAGAAAGAGAGGAAUUGCUGGAGUUUAAAAGGGAUCUUUUCCCUAGCAAGCCCACAACAAAUCUAGUCAAGGCUUGGUCUAAGGUCAGACCAAACAAAGGAAGAGUGAUGAAAUGGGCCAAAUGGCAAAACCUAGCCCACAUAGCACCCUCCCCUCUGCCAGCUCCGACUGUCGCUGGAGCCGCCAUGCCGCCAGAUCAGUCCGGCGGUCUGCCAUGCCAUGAUAUCAUUGCUCCUCAGCCUUGUUGUGCCGCUGGAGACGAGCAAACACGGCUGCCCCUCCUUAGAACAAAAUCUGCUACCGCUGCAUUGAUUUGAUCUCCCAAGCAUUAUUCUCCUACCUCCUCCUCAAACCCAGAAACCAGAGCCGUCUAUUGCCGCAAAGCAACCUACCCUUCCGCUGUAACCAGCCACAGAUGACAAUGAUCAAACCCAAAGGCCUCACCUUCGCCGAAAGUCAAAAGCUUUGCCAACAAACAUGCACUCCGACUCCUUUUCACCACACAACAAUGACGUGCCGCCUUUAGACCUGGCGCCGAAGCAUCCUUUGCCCAGACGGAAGACCGAGAGGCCGCCGUUGCUCUUUUACGCGAAACCUAGGGUUUUGGUAUUGUUUUUCUAGCUUUGUACAAGUUUGAGUUCUUGUUACAAUGGUAAAACUAGGGGUGGGCAUGGGACGGGAUGGGACGGGAUAGAGCUAAUCCCACGGCCCGUCCCGGAUAUUGAAAUCGGGACGAGACAGGACGGGAUUUGCGUUUUUAAGAUUUCAUCCCACCCGGGCCCUAUCCCGGUUGGGACGGGACGGGACGGGACGGGCCUAAUCCCAGAUUAAAAAAGUUAAAAAUAAAUUUGUAAGUAAAGGAAAGAGUUUAAUAGUGCUCUUUACUCUAUUAAGUAUUAAGAAGUACUUGUAACAUAUUUACAAGUACAACACAGUAUAAUAAGAGAAUUUAUAUUGCUUAUUUUCUCUAAACCUGUCAUCACUACUACGGUGCAAGAAGAGAGUCUAUAACAAUCAACAAAUUAAAGUAUUAAACAUCACUAUUAUUGAAUUGGAGACAACCUAUUAACUUAAAGAAACAAAGAGUUAAGAUCAAAACACUUAAAUGAAAGCUUCAAAUCACAUAUUAAUUAAUAAAAAAUCAAUUAUUAAAAUAAUCGGGACGGGACGGGCCUAAAUGGGAUUUGAAUUAUCCGUCCCAUGUCCCGUCCCGUUGUAUAGGGAUGGGAUGGGACGGGACGGGACGGGCCGAACGUUUUAAUAUUUAAAUCCCGUCCCGUCCCGGCAAAUUUCAGGAUAGGACCGGGACGGGUUCGGGAUUACGGGAUUUUAUGCCCACCCCUAGGUAAAACAAGAAAUUAUGAAAGAAAAUUUUCCUCUUCUUAGUUUUAGCAUUAACUUUAAUAUUAAUAUUUAGGUUAUGUUAGAAAUUUGAAAUGAGGUUUAGUGAGAAAAUGAUUAUAUUGAAAAGUAAAAGAGAGGUGUAGAGAGAAUGAGAGGUAUAUUAAGCAAAUUUGGAGGUCUUAAUAGCCGCAUUUUACUUGUUAAUACCUUUGAAAUGCUAUUGUACUAUAUCAUACUCUUGACGAUUACGCUAUUAAGGUUAAGUUUGAGAAAAUACAAAGUCAUCACAGUAAACAUCUUUAACUUUGAAAUUUAAACUAUUAAAGGGAGUUAAAUGUAAUUGUCUGAAUUUCUCAAUUUUCAGAACUUUUGUUAGGAAAAACUCCCUUCAUUUUGCUACUAGUGAUUGUAUGAUUCAAAUUAGUGAAUUGAAAGUCAACCAGCUCGAACUUGUGUGUUUGAUACUUUGUAUAGUUAUGUAUAAAUAACUAAAACAAUUUCGACUUUUCUUCUGCCCGCAAUGUAUAAGCUAUAAUGAGAAGUGUUAGGAGGCUUAUUGAUGAUGGUGCGAUCGUGCCCAAAAUUCAGUUAGUACAACGAAAGGCGUCUCUCAACAUAAACAUUAUCAUCAACUGUUGAACAAAUUAUGAAAGCCUGUAUAUACAUCCACAACCCCAAGCUAGCCCUCUAGAUUUGGACAUUUGGUCGUGCCCAAAACUAAAAAGGUAACAUUUCCUAAACUAUAUCAAUUAUUGUCACAAUGUGGCCCCCUGCUUCGUCUAUCUAUGAUAAAUUUAGAAAACAUUUUCGUGUGGAUGAAAUUCAUGUAAUUUUCUACGGUUGUUGGUUAGGUCAAUGUACACCAAACUCUACAUUAUUUAAACCCCUAGGACCCAAAUUCCUCUAACCAAAAUGAAAUCUCCGACCAAUCAAAUAAUUUCUAUACAGAUUUUGUCACAUCCCGACCCUUAUAUUUUUUACCUUAUUUACUAGCCUGAUUAUAAUAAGAAUUUUACCGUCUUGAUCAUUGAGUAAAUAGUUUAAUUGAUCCCUAGAGGGGUUUCGGGGACGAUUAUGUGCGGAGGAUUAUUCGUAUGAGGAAAAUACGACGACGGUAAAAAUGGUAAAUUUUAGCUAGUAAAAGGUAAUUUUUAUUCGGGUAUUAUUUUUCGGGGUGUUUAAUUUUAGAAUUUGGAUAGUUUAUAAGUGAUGGACCGGUUUGGGGUGUGAGGCCCAAACCCAUUCUUUUUCCUCCCGAUUUUCUCUCCUCACCCGCUCCCGCAUUUGUCACACCCCAGGACCCAUUCCGCCGUAAUAUGAUAUUGUCCGCUUUGGGCCCACCGGCCCUCACGGUUUUGUUUCCGGCAGCUCAGGAGCAGCUUCCCAGUAGGUCACCCAUCUUGGGAUUGCUCUAGCAUCAACAUGCUUAACCUCGGAGUACCCAUCCCCUCUGAAGCCGCUGAGCCACCAAAAAGCCUCGUGUUAGAUUGGAGGUGGGCAUGUAUAUAUACAGCACAUAACCCCUCUCCGUUUGGCCUAUGUGGGAUAUUACAAUCCACCCCCCUUGGGAGUCCGACGCCCUCGUCGGCACACUCGCACCACACGGCAGAGUGGCUCUGAUACCAUUUGUCACACCCCAAGACCCAUUCCGCCGUAACACGAUAUUGUCCGCUUUGGGCCCACCGGCCCUCACGGUUUUGUUUCCGGCAGCUCAGGAGCAGCUUCCCAGUAGGUCACCCAUCCUGGGAUUGCUCUUGCAUCAACAUGCUUAACCUCGGAGUACCCAUCCCCUCCGAAGCCGCUGAGCCACCAAAAGACCUCGUGUUAGAUUGGAGGUGGGCAUGUAUAUAUACAACACAUAACCCCUCUCCGUUUGGCCGAUGUGGGAUAUUACAGAUUUCCUUAAGUAAAGGGGUAACACUCUGUUCAAUAAAAUUAGUAGGUUUUUGUAACCAACAUAUAAAAUUCUAUCUGGUCACUCAUGUUACAACACAAAAUUAUAAAAUAGUAAAAAUAACAGCAUCAAAAUAAGCCUCAAGCACACUCAACUGAUGGGAGCAAUAUCAUGGCCAUUUGAUAAUUGGUCUUUUAAAACUCGUGAUUAGCCACCUUAUCCUUUGUUAGAUUGAGAUUAGUUAGAAGAUUAGCACUAAUCAUGAGACAAUGUGCCAGACUGCCAGCUGGGGACUAGUUUGUGUGGCUGAGUGGCUAAUUGAGUAAUUAGAAACAAUAAUUUGGGAUAGAAUAUGAAUGAAAUAACCGGAGGCCAGUGGACUAUAUAUCUUGUGAGAGCCUAGAUGCCUAGUUGACAAUCUGAUAUGCUAAUAGGGGACACGUUGGCCAUUUGAGUGAUGACCACUCAAAAUGUUUUUUACGAGUUUUUUUUUUUCUUAUGGGACUACACAUUUCAUCAUUUAUAAAUGUAUAUUCUUUACUAGUUAAUUGUUUUCAGUUUUGAAUAAAAGUUGAUUCUUUAUUAAUAACCAACAGCCAAAACCCAUAACGUACAAAGCUUACAUAAGACAAAUCGGUAAAAAAAUUAUUUAAAUUAAACAAAUUAAUUAAGAAAAUACCGAAACGCAUACACUUAAGCAAGCCUAUUUAAAGCUGAACAAACCUCACCUCCUACGAAAGUAAUUAUCAUUCUAGUCUCACCCACUUACCAAGCACGCAAUUGUGGUACGAGUAGUAUAGCUAGAAGCAACCAAGGAGACAUAUAAAGGCUUACGCACACUUACACAAGCUUCCACCCUACUAGCAAAAAUCAAAUAAUAGCAUGCUCAUCCCCUGUCGGGUUUGAGCCUAAAGCAUCACAUGUACUGUUCUCAUCACUCUCCUUGGACGGUUUAUGUUUGUUUUGAUGCCCAAUUAGACGACCUCUCUUCUUUGUUGCCUUCCUAACAAAGACCGAAACCUCCACCAGCUCACCAAGUUGAAAAUCCUGAGGUAUAAAAGCCAAGCUAGACUGCUUCUCUGUCCCACAGCGGCGUCAUUUGCACACCGUAACCUCCUAAACCUCAUCCCCACAACCAACCCCCAUGGCGGAUCCACCCAACAUUCCAACGAGCUACAGCCCAAUAGCCUUGGACCUGCCCAAUCCAUCGAAGCCCAACAAAUUAGAACCCAAUUGCUCAUGAGACAAGGCCCGAUUCCCAGGCCCAUUUUAUGUCAACCCAGACCCAUUUUCUGUCAACCCAACUCAAUUUUUUUUAUACGUAUGUAAUCAGUCAAUUCAAUCUAAUUCGAGUGACAUUAAUUAUAUAUAACUCGAAUUUGAAUGAUUUGACUAAAUAUCAAGUCUACUCUACAACACGAUAGUAAGACUAUCUAACUUAAAACUGUUGAUGUCAUAAUUUGGUUCGACAACGAAAUUUGACUUUUCAAUCCAUUCCGCGUAGGAAUAGUUGAAAUGUCAAAGAGUCACGUAUAACACUAACCUUUCAACGUACUGAAAUCUUUAUUCAAGAAAUAAAAAUGAUCCUCACACGUAAAUAAUGGUGAGAUGUCUAACUUAGCAUUCAAAGUCUUUCUUGGACUAUCACCUAGUGGUUACCUCACAUUCUAGGUAGCAUGAUAAGAUUAGAACAUAUCAUGACCUAACCAUUAGAGAAACAUCAUGUAAAGGAAUUAAGAGCCUCAACUUUCAAGACCAAGAGUUCGACCUCCAAGGCUUAAGAGCCUCAACCCUUAAGCUCUCUCUUAGACGUCCGAGAGUCGCGUAGAGACAUGUCGGCUAAUAUCUAUGGUUUACCCUUCACCCACUUCCCCACGUGUCAAGCUCUGACACAAGGUAUGGCUCUCAACAUGGUCUACGACCGACUUAAUAGGAAGAUACCACAUAUUGUCGGCACGUGUUACCAACUCUGCCAAACCUAUCCUAGAACGUCAGGAAGCAAGGCUGACACCAUGAUUUUAGGGAAUAGCCAUGUUGAGCCCAUACUCUUCCUUUCCACUUCACCAAUCUCUCUUCCUAUAAAUACUAAGCCNNNNNNNNNNNNNNNNNNNNGGAUCGCCCAGCCGCCGACUGCCGCCGUCCGGCCAGCCACCGGCCGCCGCUCCACCCCAGUUCGAACCCCCUUCUCCUCCUCUCCCUCCCCGGCCUAGCCCCCGAGCCUCUAACCCGCCGGAAACGCCGGGAAGCAUUUCGCCGGAACUCCCUCCUCCGGCCACCAAUCCGGGCAAGCUUGGUACGGUUUUGUAGCCCUUCAAUCCAGCAGCCUUGCCCUAAAAGGACUCACUCCCUCUUGAGCUAGGUAAGGAGAAAUUUGAGGUGGAAGUUUUAUGGUGUUUUUGAUGUUUUUAGUCGAUUGCCCUAGUUAGGCUUGGAAUUGGUGUUUGUGCUAGUUAGGAAAGUUGUAGAGCAUGAUGAGAGGAUUAUUCUGUCAAAAUUUCAUAGGUUUUGGAGGUCGCCGGAAUUGGCCUCCGGCCGCCGCUGCCGGCGGAGCCGCCGCCGGUUAGGAGAUUUUUAGGGUUUUAAGUGUGGAAUAUUAAGAGGAGUAUAUUGAUGUGAUUUAUGGAAUUUUUGGAUGAGAUUUGGAUAGGUUUGUGAAUUUCCGAAGUUUGGUAUUUUUGGCGGUUAAUUAAUGCGGAAUCCGGCCGUAGGAUUUAAGUCGUAUUUUGGGGAGGUUGUAUUUACGACUGUUGAGUAUGAUAUUUAAGUUCGGAUUGUUCCGAUUUAAGAAUAUCGAAGUUAGGCAAUGAUGAGCGUAUUUAUGGCUCUCGGGUAAUUUUGCCUAUUUUGAUUAAAUAUUGGAUUUUUGGUUGGGAAAUUAAUAUUAUAUUUGGAACAGGACGUAAGGAGGCUCGAGCAGACGAGACCCCAGAUCGACAUCAGGCUUAGGCCUAAUUUUUGAGUGGACGUUUAUUUUAAAUAAAUGCAUGCUAUGGUUCAUGGUUGAUCAAUUAAUGUUGCGGAAAUAUUUUAACGUCAUUUUAAUUUGACGAUUUUUAUUUCUCUUGGAGAGUUACCGAAAAUGGGAUUUUCGGUGGAUAUAAAUAUGUAUUUUUGAGAGAGUAUGUAUAUAAAUGCUAGCUAGCCAUAUGUGUCUGUCCACCUUAAUGGCGUAGCAUAUAGCCGCAUUAUGGUGUGACGUGAGCGUUGGACGUAAGCGUAGUAGCCCUAUUUGAGUGUUUAUGUCACACCCCAAGACCCAUUCCGCCGUAACACGAUAUUGUCCGCUUUGGGCCCACCGGCCCUCACGGUUUUGUUUCCGGCAGCUCAGGAGCAGCUUCUCAGUAGGUCACCCAUCUUGGGAUUGCUCUAGCAUCAACAUGGUUAACCUCGGAGUACCCAUCCCCUCCAAAGCCGCUGAGCCACCAAAAGGCCUCGUGUUAGAUUGGAGGUGGGCAUGUAUAUAUACAGCACAUAACCCCUCUCCGUUUGGCCAAUGUGGGAUAUUACAAUCCACCCCCCUUGGGAGUCCGACGCCCUCGUCGGCACACUCGCACCACACGGCAGAGUGGCUCUGAUACCAUUUGUCACACCCCAAGACCCAUUCCGCCGUAACACGAUAUUGUCCGCUUUGGGCCCACCGGCCCUCACGGUUUUGUUUCCGGCAGCUCAGGAGCAGCUUCCCAGUAGGUCACCCAUCCUGGGAUUGCUCUUGCAUCAACAUGCUUAACCUCGGAGUACCCAUCCCCUCCGAAGCCGCUGAGNNNNNNNNNNNNNNNNNNNNCUCUCUCUCUCUCUCUCUCUCUCUCUCUCUCUCUCUCUCUCUCUCUCUCUCUCUCUCUCUCUCUCUCUCUCUCUCUCUCUCUCUCUCUCUCUCUCUCUCUCUCUGUUGGUCUAUCACCCCAUGCUAAAAUACAUAGUUCUUACUCUUUUGCUAGGAUCAUCUCUUCACAUUCUUUUACACUAUCAUGUUGCUUGAGUACAUUCCAUUCUUCUCCAAUCUCUACUAUCAUGUUGCUUGAGUACAUUCCCUUCUUCUCCAAUCUCUACUUAAUGUUCAAACACUUCAAUGACUUGAGCGUUAGAGAGUGUUUAGCCUGCCAUAGGUUGGUCCUCCGAUAACCAUCUAUCGCUUCACAUUUGCAGGUCAUUCCCAUGGAUCUUGAAGGCUCAAAGGAGUGGAGGAAGUCCACCAAAGGAGUGGAGGAAGUCCACCAAAGGAGUGGAGGAAGUCCACCAAUGAAGUGGAGGAAGCUGCUCACCUUCAAGGAAAGGAAGCCCACCACGAAGUGGUACAUGAAGACUUAGCUUCAGCCGAAAGAAGUCCACCAAAGGAGUGGAUGAAAUUCAUCAUGAAGUGGAGCAUGAAGGCUUAACAUCAGCCGAAUGAAGUCCACCAAAGGAGUGGAGGAAACUAGCUCACCUUCAAGGAGAAGAAGCCCAUCACGAAAUGGUAUGUGAAAGCCCAACAUCAGUCGGAGGAAGUUCGAGAUGGGACUACCAGUUUUCCCGACAAAGGAGUGGAUGCAGCCCCACCCAACGAGUGGAGUUAGCCCACCAAUUAGUGGAGGAAGUCUCGGAGGAGACUACCGGUUCUCUCGACAAAGGAGAGGAUGAUGCUUACCAUCAAGAGGAGUGUGAAUGCUGAACACCGCCAGAAGGAAGUCCAAGAUCAAGAAUAUAGUCUUAUUUAAGGAAGUCGAAUGCACAAGCUCAUCGAUGCCAUACCUUCAGUCACAUGCGACGGACUACCAAGACGCGACACAUGGCCACCGUGACAUAUCUUUAGUCACUGGAGAUAGACAACCAAAACCAUGAAAAUAGUCAAACUAGAUGAAGGGAGAAGAUAGGCCCAUUACAAGAGAGUAACCCUACCACUUUACACGUAUGAUUUCAACGGAAAUCUAGUUGACCCGUUGGUGCUAAAAAACGACAUCAACAAAAACCUUGAGCAGCUAAUAAAGGUUGACUUGAAAACUAGCUUCAAGGUUCCGCAUCAUGAAUUUUUUUUUACCAACGACGUUAGCCAGAAAGUUGGCUUUUCUAUGAGCAUGNNN
Molecule: long non-coding RNA, 9932 nt
Filed under: Fragaria vesca (wild strawberry)
Lineage: Eukaryota; Viridiplantae; Streptophyta; Magnoliopsida; Rosales; Rosaceae
Description: long non-coding RNA (FVES_LNC000468)
Source: RNAcentral